Long non-coding RNA from Armigeres subalbatus, 1080 nucleotides. RefSeq lists it as uncharacterized. The record is from RefSeq and is a predicted model, not a curated record. The transcript has 3 exons. NCBI's taxonomy places the organism in Eukaryota, Metazoa, Arthropoda, Insecta, Diptera, Culicidae.
UUCCCAAUUAAGCUUAAAUAACAUUUUUAUGAGUUCUCGGAUUAUGUAAAGAUGGCAUAUGAAUUUGAAAAUAAUAAACUGUGGACUCGUAUAAAUUUAAGUGUGUUAGUAUUAAUACUGACUUUUUUUUUGAUUUUUGUUGGACAUUUACUGCAAUGUCCAUUCUUCUCGCUCAUUUCCAAAAUCCGUCGGCUAGAGUACAGAAGUUAGUCACCGUGGUUCCUAGCCUUUUCGUUUUUUUAUUCAAGUUCCGGUUUAUAUUUAUACCACAAGUGGCGAAAACUCUGCUCUUGUGAGUUUUUCUUCUUUAUAAAAGCGUCCAACAGGCGCUUUUUUGUUUGGACCUAGAAUCCGUGGAUCUAGACAUCCGCCAUCUUGAUUCGGCUCCCGCCCGCGUGGCGCGUUUUCUGUGGCGACAGCUCGUUCCGGCCCGCCAGUUUCUGGCAGACAAACGGGAUAGAGAAGACAUCCUCCGGCCUACCUGCGUGCGGUUUACGUACGAUCGGGCAGCGUACUGGAGUUGCCGACGUCCUCCCCCGCAACUAUAGAUCGGCCGUUGGUUUUUUUUCGAGCACGCCCUAACGACGCUGGUGCCCAACAUCUUGGUGCCCCCCGGAGAUAGGCCUAGUCCCGCCUCUGCGACGGCAGAUCAUCGCAUGAAUCUGCGAACCUCCGGUGAACCAGCAGUCGUCGUUUGCUAAAACCCUGCGCAGGUAUGUCACUCAUGGCCAUGAACACACAACACACACACUGACACACAACUAUGUUUAACGAAAAAAGAACAUAAUAUAAUUAAAAUGAAUUUAAGCUAAACUUACCUUUCUACAUUCAUUUAUGCUACCUGAGCCCUGUGGUAUAGUAGUUCGCCCGGGUUACGUUUUCUUUCCGUUCCACUUCGUUUUUCUGAGCACGUGCGAAUUGAUUCACUCUUUCGUUUUCGUCCGCUUCAGUUGGAUUUCAUUCAAAAUCAUAGCCAUCGUUACAAUUACUCUCCAACCGUUCAGAACUCCCCGAGAAUUAAACUCAUGCUAAAUUAGCUUAGUCGGGCAACGUAACAUCACACGACCAGUGGUCCCUCAA